GGAAUAUUGGACAAUGGGGGCAACCCUGAUCCAGCAAUGCCGCGUGUGUGAAGAAGGCCUUCGGGUUGUAAAGCACUUUAAGUUGGGAGGAAAAGCUUGUGGUUAAUAACCGUAAGUGUUGACGUUACCAACAGAAUAAGCACCGGCUAACUCCGUGCCAGCAGCCGCGGUAAUACGGCGGGUGCGAGCGUUAAUCGGAAUUACUGGGCGUAAAGCGCGCGUAGGCGGCGUGAUAAGCCGGUUGUGAAAGCCCCGGGCUCAACCUGGGAACGGCAUCCGGAACUGUCAGGCUAGAGUGCAGGAGAGGAAGGUAGAAUUCCCGGUGUAGCGGUGAAAUGCGUAGAGAUCGGGAGGAAUACCAGUGGCGAAGGCGGCCUUCUGGACUGACACUGACGCUGAGGUGCGAAAGCGUGGGUAGCA
This 420-nucleotide ribosomal RNA is filed under the name uncultured bacterium. RNAcentral describes it as "bacterial SSU rRNA". It matches the Rfam family "Bacterial small subunit ribosomal RNA", at positions 358 to 770 of the family's 1533-position model. The record is from RNAcentral.